CCUACGGGUGGCUGCAGUGGGGAAUAUUGGACAAUGGGGGGAACCCUGAUCCAGCCAUGCCGCGUGUGUGAAGAAGGCCCUCGGGUUGUAAAGCACUUUCAGUGAGGAAGAACGCCUGGUGGUUAAUACCCAUCAGGAAAGACAUCACUCACAGAAGAAGCACCGGCUAACUCCGUGCCAGCAGCCGCGGUAAUACGGAGGGUGCGAGCGUUAAUCGGAAUUACUGGGCGUAAAGCGCGCGUAGGUGGCUUGAUAAGCCGGUUGUGAAAGCCCCGGGCUCAACCUGGGAACGGCAUCCGGAACUGUCGAGCUAGAGUGCAGGAGAGGAAGGUAGAAUUCCCGGUGUAGCGGUGAAAUGCGUAGAGAUCGGGAGGAAUACCAGUGGCGAAGGCGGCCUUCUGGACUGACACUGACACUGAGGUGCGAAAGCGUGGGUAGCAAACAGGAUUAGAUACCCGAGUAGUC
RNAcentral lists this ribosomal RNA (465 nucleotides) under Vreelandella stevensii. RNAcentral describes it as "partial 16S ribosomal RNA". It matches the Rfam family "Bacterial small subunit ribosomal RNA", at positions 338 to 795 of the family's 1533-position model. Lineage: Bacteria; Pseudomonadati; Pseudomonadota; Gammaproteobacteria; Oceanospirillales; Halomonadaceae. The record is from RNAcentral.